RNAcentral lists this ribosomal RNA (495 nucleotides) under uncultured Glomeromycotina. Its description in RNAcentral is "partial small subunit ribosomal RNA". It matches the Rfam family "Eukaryotic small subunit ribosomal RNA", at positions 591 to 1092 of the family's 1831-position model. The record is from RNAcentral. Lineage: Eukaryota; Fungi; Glomeromycota.
CCAAUAGCGUAUAUUAAAGUUGUUGCAGUUAAAAAGCUCGUAGUUGAAUUUCGGGGUUCUACCGUUGGUCGGGCUUUGUCUGUACUGGCGUGUAGAAUUUCUACCUUCUGGGGAACCAUUAUGUUAUUAAUUUAGUGUAGUGGGAAACCAGGACCUUUACCUUGAAAAAUUUAGAGUGUUCAAAGCAGGCUUAUGUCUGAAUAAAUUAGCAUGGAAUAAUAGAAUAGGACGGUGGUCCUGUUUUGUUGGUUUCUGAAUCACCGUAAUGAUUAAUAGGGAUAGUUGGGGGCAUUAGUAUUCAAUUGUCAGAGGUGAAAUUCUUGGAUUUAUUGAAGACUAACUUCUGCGAAAGCAUUUGCCAAGGAUGUUUUCAUUAAUCAAGAACGAAAGUUAGGGGAUCGAAGACGAUCAGAUACCGUCGUAGUCUUAACCAUAAACUAUGCCGACUAGGGAUCGGACGAUGUUAACUUUUCUUGACUCGUUCGGCGCCUUACG